GCCCUGUGUGCCAUUUCCCAUGCGCAACCUCUACGCCAGCGUGUGCACGUGUGCACAGCCACACACAGCAGCAGAUAGAUACAGUAGAUUUCAUGAAGCUGGAAGCCAUGAAGGAAGCCUGACCAAAGAUUGUGGCAGCGCAGGAAGGAAGUGGAGCACACCCCUGGAUAUGAACAGGAAGCAGCCAGGAAAGAGGACUCUGACAGGACACACACACUCAGAGAGUUAUGGCUCCAGCUUGAACACUGACCAAGGUACAAAAUGGGCCGUGUCCAAAGCAACUGCGUGGGCCAUCUGCCAAAGAAACUACUCCUAAUCCAACCUUUCUUACUCCCACACUUCGAUGUCUAUUCAGCACUUCAAAAUCUGCACUGUUUGUAUUUUAGUUUUGUAUCUCAGUCAUCAAAGUAACUUUUCCCUUCCACACAUAGACUAUGGACACUCAUAAGGAUGAAUCUGCAACUAUGAAACAAAUUUACAUAAAGGCUGAGCAGGAAUAGGUCACACUGCUCAGUGCUUCUGCUGGGCAGCUCUACUAUUUGUUUUGUUUCUGAUCCUUCUCUCUUCCUUUUUCCAUGUUCCUUGGCUCCAUCAGAUUAGUAUCCAGUUUGUUUUUAUGACUCAGGAUGCUGCACCAUGCUUGUGUAUGUUUUACUACCCCAAAUGUGUGUGUGUGUGUGUGUGUGUGUGUGUGUGUGUGUGUGUGUGUGUGUGUGUGUGUGUGUGUGUGUGUGUGUGUGUGUGUGUGUGUGUGUGUGUGUGUGUGUGUGUCAAGAGGAAACAUAAACUGGAGGACGUAUCGGUCGAGGCCAGAGCAGAGUGUCACACAGGAGUGUCAGAGUGCAGGUUACAUAAUACUGAGGGGCAUUAAGGAGAGGCAGGAGGGGGUCACAUGACCCUCACAGGGUUUCACUUUAGGUCAUUUACUCUGGUAAUACAGCUUAUGGUGUCUCCUGCGAGUAUUUAGGUUUCCAAGACACCCUAUCCGCUCGCUGUAAUGUGUGCUAAACAAAUAAAGUUGCCUGUUACCACUGUGCCAUAGGUUAACUCUCUAGUGCCUGGAAAGAAUGUUUUAAAAUAAAUAAAGUAAAAUCAAAGUUCUUUUUUUUAAUCCAAGCAAAGAUCAGAAAUAUACGUUUUUAAGUAAGUUAAGUGCACACAAACAGUGGCUUCGAUUUAUUAUAUUAGCAUGUAACUCUUAAGACUUCAAUAAGCUGAAAGGUGUCACUGAUGAGAAAAACAUCACUGGAGUACUAAUUAGAACUAAUGUAGAGGAAGCCCAACAUUUUAAGAGGCACACAAUAGCAGUUUUUUUUUUAACAUAUUUUUUAUGUAAAAGAGUAUUUUUUUGUUCAAUUUCCCACAAGUUCUGCACCAUCUGAGAAUCAUGAUUACUUAUUCCUUAUUAUACUUAUUAUAAAUACCUAUAAUGAACCUGCUCACAAACUUGUGUCUCCAGUUUGACUGCUCUGCAAAUGCACCAGCUGUAGUGUGCUACCAAGAAAACACUUGAAUUAGACUGAGAGACCCGCAUGACAAGAAGGUUUUUUUCUCUUUAGCAGUUUUAGUCAUUUGUCGCUGUAGACUAAAUAAAUAAAAGGUAUACUGGUUGUAUUUCAAUAUCAAGAAGGAAGCACUAGUUUGGUAUUUGUCAGUACCCUCAGAUGUUCAAAGCACUGAAAAUUUUUAUCUCCGCCUUGUGUGAACGACUUUGAGCUUACAACUGCUUUGUGACAACAUGAUGGAAAGCACAGAAAUGCUCUAAACUCGUGCUAUUACAAGGCAGCCAGUCACUUUUACAGUUGCAGUCUUAAUGCUAAAAUUUUGCAAAUAACAGAAACGAUCACAGGACACAUUUUGUAAAAACCAAGUUCCCCCCUGAGGUAUGAUUUACAUCCAACUACAGUCGGUGCCUUCUAAAUAAUUUAUGAUACCAUAAAAUCUAAAAUAAUCGAAGCCUGUCUGUUUUGUUUCUUCUACAUAAAAUGCCUCGAAGGAAUUUAAGCUACUACAAAAAAGCUGGAACUUUCUUUGGAUUAGCGGAUUAAUAUGUUGGCAUACAAACUGCAAGCCUGUGUUGAAAAAAUGUCUGCCAAGAUGAUGCUGUUAUACAACAUGCAACAGGAGAACAACCUUAACCCUGCU
Astatotilapia calliptera (eastern happy) is the source of this 2145-nucleotide long non-coding RNA. The record is from Ensembl. Lineage: Eukaryota; Metazoa; Chordata; Actinopteri; Cichliformes; Cichlidae.